CUGUGCUCCUGCGGGACCGACCGUGCCGCGCCCGCUGCGGCUCCUCGGGCCCCGCCUCUGGGGCGUGCAGGGCCCCGAGGGGACGAGACACCGCCCGGCCUCCCGCUCGGCGACCAGGAGAGAGGGCAGCCGUGUCACCGUGUUUCCCAAGGAGCCAACAGUGGAGGCUGCCAGAGAGGAAAGGCCCUCCAUUUGUGCGCUGGUGGUUGUGACUCGAUCUCUCGCCUGGCUCCUUCAGCUCUGCGGUUUGGCACCGCCUCGGCGCUAUAGCAUUAUACACAGGAUGUUCACAGAAGAUGCUUGUUCAUUAUCCCCAUCCUGCCUGCACUUUGGCUCCCCUGGAAUUCUCUGC
Molecule: long non-coding RNA, 352 nt
Filed under: Equus caballus (horse)
Lineage: Eukaryota; Metazoa; Chordata; Mammalia; Perissodactyla; Equidae
Description: lncRNA (ENSECAG00000051882.1)
Source: RNAcentral